This 388-nucleotide unclassified non-coding RNA is filed under the name uncultured fungus. Its description in RNAcentral is "partial contains 5.8S ribosomal RNA and internal transcribed spacer 2". The stretch from base 1 to 133 matches the Rfam family "5.8S ribosomal RNA", at positions 22 to 154 of the family's 154-position model. Lineage: Eukaryota; Fungi. The record is from RNAcentral.
UGGCUCUCGCAUCGAUGAAGAACGCAGCGAAAUGCGAUAAGUAAUGUGAAUUGCAGAAUUCAGUGAAUCAUCGAAUCUUUGAACGCACCUUGCGCCCCUUGGUAUUCCGAAGGGCAUGCCUGUUUGAGUGUCUUGAAAUCAUCAAUCCCUUUCGGUUUCGUUGCCGUUGGGGAUUGGACAUGGGGGCUUUGCUGCGGGGGUUGCAAACCUCAGCGGCUCCCCUCAAAUGCAUCGGCUCGGGCUAUUUCGCGGCUCUGUCCCAUUGGCGUUGUAUCACCCUCGCCUUCCGGGUACAUUUCGCGGUGAUGCCCCGCCUCGACCUGCCUAUGGAGCGGCGGUCAGCUACAAUUCGAGAUCUGACCUCAAAUCAGGUAGGACUACCCGCUGA